CACGUAGGGGGCGAGCGUUGUCCGGAUUUACUGGGCGUAAAGGGCGCGUAGGCGGUCUUUUAAGUCAGAUGUGAAAUACCCGGGCUCAACUUGGGUGCUGCAUUUCAAACUGGAAGUCUAGAGUGCAGGAGAGGAGAAUGGAAUUCCCAGUGUAGCGGUGAAAUGCGUAGAUAUCGGGAAGAACACCCGUGGCGAAGGCGGCUCUCUGGGACGGUACUGACGCUGAGACGCGAAAGCGUGGGGAGCGAACAGG
Molecule: ribosomal RNA, 253 nt
Filed under: uncultured bacterium
Lineage: Bacteria
Description: partial 16S ribosomal RNA
Rfam family: Bacterial small subunit ribosomal RNA
Source: RNAcentral